This 907-nucleotide ribosomal RNA is filed under the name Plectosphaerella cucumerina. RNAcentral's name for it is "LSU rRNA". It matches the Rfam family "Eukaryotic large subunit ribosomal RNA", at positions 37 to 963 of the family's 3401-position model. Lineage: Eukaryota; Fungi; Ascomycota; Sordariomycetes; Glomerellales; Plectosphaerellaceae. The record is from RNAcentral.
AGCAUAUCAAUAAGCGGAGGAAAAGAAACCAACAGGGAUUGCCUCAGUUAACGGCGAAGUGAAGCGGCAACAGCUCAAAUUUGAAAUCUGGCUCCUUCGGGGUCCGAGUUGUAAUUUGCAGAGGAUGCGUCGGGUACGGGUCCCUACCGAGUUCCCUGGAACGGGACGCCAUAGAGGGUGAGAGCCCCGUCUGGUAGGAUACCCAGCCCAUGUGACGCUCCCUCGACGAGUCGAGUAGUUUGGGAAUGCUGCUCUAACGGGAGGUAUACUCCUUCCAAAGCUAAAUACCGGCUGGAGACCGAUAGCGCACAAGUAGAGUGAUCGAAAGAUGAAAAGCACUUUGAAAAGAGAGUCAAACAGCACGUGAAAUUGUUAAAAGGGAAGCACUCGCUACCAGACUUGGGUUUGGCGGUUCAACCGGGGCCACGCCCCGGGGCAUUCCGCCAGCUCAGGCCAGCAUCAGCUUUCCGUCGGGGGCAAAGACGUCGGGAAUGUGGCUCCCCCUCGGGGGAGUGUUAUAGCCCGGCGUGUCAUACCCUUCGGGGGGCUGAGGUACGCGCUUCUGCAAGGAUGCUGGCGUAAUGGUAGCUAGUGACCCGUCUUGAAACACGGACCAAGGAGUCAACCUUAUGUGCGAGUGCCCGGGCGUAAAACCCCAGCGCGGAAUGAAAGUGAACGUAGGUGAGAGCUUCGGCGCAUCACCGACCGAUCCUGAUGUCCUCGGACGGAUUUGAGUGAGAGCAUAUAGGGUUGGACCCGAAAGAAGAUGAACUAUGCGUGUGUAGGGUGAAGCCAGAGGAAAACUCUGGUGGAGGCUCGCAGCGGUUCUGACGUGCAAAUCGAUCGUCAAAACAUGCGCAUGGGGGGCGAAAGACUAAUCGAAUCUUCUGGUAGCUGGUUUCCGCCG